CUACCUUAGUCAAAAGAAGCGAACAGCAGUUAUGGCUGAGAAUAAAUGACUGUUAAGUGCUCAGCCCUAAAUAGGGCAUCUGUAUUAACCCUGCCACAGCUCAGGAACCAUUGCUGAGGAGGAAGAAUGUAAGAGCUGGAGGACAGGAGGAGAGCCAUGAAACACUGUCUUCGGGACAUGGCCUGGCCAUUGUACUCAGGAACUCACAGUAGCUGAGCCCCAACAUUCCAGCAUGGAUGGAGAAAGAGCCUCACAAUGGACUUCAGUAAGCCUGUGUGUGCUGGUCUUCCUGGAUAGAGCAGCCGGAAGUGAAGAGUGUGGAACUUGCCAUCCAAGACCACAGUUGUCACCAAGAUCUGCAUGGCAACCACUCAGGAGGGCUCCUGCUGGGUGUUCUCCGUGUCUGGAGCCGCUCUG
Molecule: long non-coding RNA, 417 nt
Filed under: Cricetulus griseus (Chinese hamster)
Lineage: Eukaryota; Metazoa; Chordata; Mammalia; Rodentia; Cricetidae
Description: lncRNA (ENSCGRG00015038958.1)
Source: RNAcentral